CAGCCGCCGCGGGAAUACGAAGGGGGCUAGCGUUGCUCGGAAUGACUGGGCGUAAAGGGCGCGUAGGCGGUUUUGACAGUCAGAUGUGAAAUUCCUGGGCUUAACCUGGGGGCUGCAUUUGAGACGUCAAGACUAGAGUGUGAGAGAGGGUUGUGGAAUUCCCAGUGUAGAGGUGAAAUUCGUAGAUAUUGGGAAGAACACCGGUGGCGAAGGCGGCAACCUGGCUCAUUACUGACGCUGAGGCGCGAAAGCGUGGGGAGCAAACAGGAUUAGAUACCCCUGUAGUCCCUGUCUCUUAUAC
Molecule: ribosomal RNA, 301 nt
Filed under: uncultured bacterium
Lineage: Bacteria
Description: partial 16S ribosomal RNA
Rfam family: Bacterial small subunit ribosomal RNA
Source: RNAcentral